Podarcis lilfordi (Lilford's wall lizard) is the source of this 808-nucleotide non-coding RNA. NCBI's taxonomy places the organism in Eukaryota, Metazoa, Chordata, Lepidosauria, Squamata, Lacertidae. The record is from the annotation of a GenBank genome assembly.
GCAAGAACUAAGCGCAGGUUUAAUCGUCCCAUUGAAACGAAUGGUGCAGGAUCGUGCCCUUCCUAGUAAGUUUAUUUGCUCAGCGAUUCAGGCCUUGGCCUGUCGAUACUUCCUUGGGGUGAAUGGGUACCGAAUCAAGUUAGUAGCCCUCCUCCAUCCAUAGUAAUGGUGCUGUCCAGACUUACCGCACCAGCUUCACUAUGUCUACUUAGAAGUAAGUCCUGUUGACUUCAGCGGGGCUUACUCCCAGGUAACUGGGGUUAGGAGUGCAGCCCAAGUAGUUAGCCCACCGAGCAGCUAAAAUAGCCACUGAGAUUCAAAGCAAACCUGGGGUGGUCAUUUUAAAAACCAUGGGCGUAAAAGAGAGCUCAGCUAUGGUGAUGUUGCUUUGAGGUUAAAAACCUUUUUGGGUUUUUAAAUCUGACUGUUGAUUUCUCUAGCUGUAAACGUAGAGGCGCUAUGCACCAGGAAGUUCUCCAGCGCGAAAGAAGAUGCAAGUGAACGAAAGCCGUGCGUCCACACCCUUCUCCUCCAACUCAGGCCCCAUACAUCUAAAUGGAGUUUGGAGACGUUCCCGUUGGACAGAGUCCUUCAGGCCCCCGACCCCCCAAUGGAAAAGCCGGCUCUGAGACCACCUUUCUUAGGCAUUUUUCGCAGGGAAGAAAGGUCGUGGCUCAGAGGUAGCGAGCAGACUUUCCAUACAGAUGGUUCAAUCCUAGACGCCACCAGGAAGGACUGGCAUGCUGGGAAUGCCUCCGGAUUGAAAUCUUGGAGAUUUCUGCUACUGGUCAGUGUAGACAAUCUGAAC